RNAcentral lists this ribosomal RNA (468 nucleotides) under uncultured bacterium. RNAcentral describes it as "partial 16S ribosomal RNA". It matches the Rfam family "Bacterial small subunit ribosomal RNA", at positions 28 to 507 of the family's 1533-position model. The record is from RNAcentral.
GACGAACGCUGGCGGCGUGCUUAACACAUGCAAGUCGAACGGAAAGGCCCUGCUUUUGUGGGGUGCUCGAGUGGCGAACGGGUGAGUAACACGUGAGUAACCUGCCCUUGACUUUGGGAUAACUUCAGGAAACUGGGGCUAAUACCGGAUAGGAGCUCCUGCUGCAUGGUGGGGGUUGGAAAGUUUCGGCGGUUGGGGAUGGACUCGCGGCUUAUCAGCUUGUUGGUGGGGUAGUGGCUUACCAAGGCUUUGACGGGUAGCCGGCCUGAGAGGGUGACCGGCCACAUUGGGACUGAGGUACCGCCCAGAAUCCUUCGGGGGGCAGAAGUGGGGAAUAUUGCACAAUGGGCGGAAGGCUGAAGCAGCAACGGCGCGUGCGGGAUGACGGCCUUCGGGUUGGAAACCGCUUUCGCCUGUGACGAAGCGUGAGUGACGGUAAUGGGUAAAGGAGCACCGGCUAACUACGUG